CGGCGAUGCCUACACAUGCAGUCAACGGAAAGGCCCGCUUGCGGGUACUCGAGUGGCGAACGGGUGAGUACACGUGGGUGAUCUGCCCUGGACUCUGGGAUAAGCCUGGGAAACUGGGUCUAAUACCGGAUAUGACCUUACAUCGCAUGGUGUUUGGUGGAAAGCUUUUGCGGUUCAGGAUGGGCCCGCGGCCUAUCAGCUUGUUGGUGGGGUAAUGGCCUACCAAGGCGACGACGGGUAGCCGACCUGAGAGGGUGAUCGGCCACACUGGGACUGAGACACGGCCCAGACUCCUACGGGAGGCAGCAGUGGGGAAUAUUGCACAAUGGGCGCAAGCCUGAUGCAGCGACGCCGCGUGAGGGAUGACGGCCUUCGGGUUGUAAACCUCUUUCACCAGCGACGAAGCGCAAGUGACGGUACCUGGAGAAGAAGCACCGGCCAACUACGUGCC
RNAcentral lists this ribosomal RNA (451 nucleotides) under uncultured Gordonia sp. RNAcentral describes it as "bacterial SSU rRNA". It matches the Rfam family "Bacterial small subunit ribosomal RNA", at positions 40 to 509 of the family's 1533-position model. The record is from RNAcentral. Lineage: Bacteria; Bacillati; Actinomycetota; Actinomycetes; Mycobacteriales; Gordoniaceae.